UUGCGUAGGCAGCUUACUAGAGGUUCACUGACGCUGAUGCACGAAAGCGUGGGGAUCAAACAGGAUUAGAUACCCUGGUAGUCCACGCCGUAAACGAUGAUAACUCGCUGUUGGCGAUACACAGUCAGCGGCUUAGCGAAAGCGUUAAGUUAUCCACCUGGGGAGUACGCUCGCAAGAGUGAAACUCAAAGGAAUUGACGGGGGCCCGCACAAGCGGAGGAACAUGUGGUUUAAUUCGAUGAUACGCGAGGAACCUUACCUGGGCUUAAAUGUGGAGUGACUGCCGAAGAAAUUUGGUUUUCCGCAAGGACACUCUACAAGGUGCUGCAUGGUUGUCGUCAGCUCGUGCCGUGAGGUGUCGGGUUAAGUCCCAUAACGAGCGCAACCCUUAUGAUUAGUUGCUAACAGGUCAAGCUGAGGACUCUAGUCAGACUGCCACCGUAAGGUGUGAGGAAGGUGGGGAUGACGUCAAAUCAGCACGGCCCUUAUGUCCAGGGCUACACACGUGUUACAAUGGCCGAUACAGAGGGCAGCUACCAAGCGAUUGGAUGCUAAUCCGGAAAAGCCGGUCUCAGUUCGGAUCGGAGUCUGCAACCCGACUCCGUGAAGCUGGAUUCGCUAGUAAUCGCGCAUCAGCCAUGGCGCGGUGAAUACGUUCCCGGGCCUUGUACACACCGCCCGUCAAACCAUGGGAGCCGAGGGUACCUGAAGUCUGUGACCGCGAGGAGCGGCCUAGGGUAAAAUUGGUGACUAGGGUU
RNAcentral lists this ribosomal RNA (758 nucleotides) under uncultured bacterium. RNAcentral describes it as "bacterial SSU rRNA". It matches the Rfam family "Bacterial small subunit ribosomal RNA", at positions 713 to 1482 of the family's 1533-position model. The record is from RNAcentral.